AUUGAACGCUGGCGCCAGGCUUAACACAUGCAAGUCGAGCGGGGUGAUGGUGCUUGCACUAUCACUUAGCGGCGGACGGGUGAGUAAUGCUUAGGAAUCUGCCUAUUAGUGGGGGACAACAUCUCGAAAGGGAUGCUAAUACCGCAUACGUCCUACGGGAGAAAGCAGGGGAUCACUUGUGACCUUGCGCUAUAGAUGAGCCUAAGUCGGGUUAGCUAGUUGGUGGGGUAAAGGCCUACCAAAGCGACGAUCUGUAGCGGGUCUGAGAGGAUGAUCCGCCACACUGGGGCUGAGAGACGGCGCAGACUCCUAGGGGAGGCAACAGUGGGGAAUAUUGGGCAAUGGGGGGAAGCCUGAUCCAGCCAUGCCGCGUGUGUGAAGAAGGCCUUAUGGUUGUAAAGCACUUUAAGCGAGGAGGAGGCUCUUUUGGUUAAUACCCAAGAUGAGUGGACGUUACUCGCAGAAUAAGCACCGGCUAACUCUGUGCCAGCCGCCGCCGUAA
RNAcentral lists this ribosomal RNA (502 nucleotides) under uncultured bacterium. RNAcentral's name for it is "partial 16S ribosomal RNA". It matches the Rfam family "Bacterial small subunit ribosomal RNA", at positions 30 to 523 of the family's 1533-position model. The record is from RNAcentral.